RNAcentral lists this ribosomal RNA (427 nucleotides) under uncultured bacterium. RNAcentral's name for it is "bacterial SSU rRNA". It matches the Rfam family "Bacterial small subunit ribosomal RNA", at positions 355 to 774 of the family's 1533-position model. The record is from RNAcentral.
UGGGGAAUAUUGGACAAUGGGCGAAAGCCUGAUCCAGCCAUGCCGCGUGUGUGAAGAAGGUCUUCGGAUUGUAAAGCACUUUAAGUUGGGAGGAAGGGCAUUAACCUAAUACGUUGGUGUCUUGACGUUACCGACAGAAUAAGCACCGGCUAACUCUGUGCCAGCAGCCGCGGUAAUACAGAGGGUGCAAGCGUUAAUCGGAAUUACUGGGCGUAAAGCUCGCGUAGGUGGUUCGUUAAGUUGGAUGUGAAAUCCGCGGGCUCAACCUGGGAACUGCAUUCAAAACUGACGAGCUAGAGUAUGGUAGAGAGUGGUGGAAUUUCCUGUGUAGCGGUGAAAUGUGUAGAUAUAGGAGGGAACACCAGAGGAGAAGGCGACCACCGGGACUGAUACUGACACUGAGGUGCGAAAGCGUGGGGAGCAAACA